UGGUGGAGCGAUUUGUCUGGUUUAUUCCGAUAACGAACGAGACUCUGGCCUACUAAAUAGUGGGCGGAUUCAGUCUGUCCGCAACACUUCUUAGAGGGACAAGCGGUGUUCAGCCGCACGAGAUUGAGCAAUAACA
RNAcentral lists this ribosomal RNA (136 nucleotides) under uncultured eukaryote. RNAcentral describes it as "partial 18S ribosomal RNA". It matches the Rfam family "Eukaryotic small subunit ribosomal RNA", at positions 1299 to 1458 of the family's 1831-position model. The record is from RNAcentral.